AUGGAGGGGGUGUGGAGGAAGGCCAAGAAGGCGAUGUGCGUCGGCCUGUGCGUGCACCUCCCCGCCGUCGCCGGCGACCGGGAGGGCGGCGCCAGCGAGCGCCGCGCGUCGGAUGCGGUCUCCCUGGACUCUGCGGCGGCGGCGCACGCAUCGGCGCCGAACACGCCGGCGGCGACGGCCACGGCGGAGGCCAGCGGCACCCGCGCGCUGCGGAGGUCCAAGUCCGGAGGCAAGUCCUCCAAGGAAGGCACCAGCAAGGGGGCCGCGGUGGCGAAGGCGCUCGAAGGCAUCGCCGACGCGCCGGGGACGCUAGCGGAGGCGCGGCUCGCCGUCGCCGCGCACGCCGUGCUGCGCUCCCCCGACGCCGACGCCGACAUAUGGGACGCGGAGGCGACCUGCGUCAACAGAAGCCUCCUCUCGGCGAUCGACGAGAUCCUCCAACUCAAGGAGACCGCUGCGUUCCCCACGGCCUCCCCGGCUCGCCGCCGCAUGGACGGCGCCCUCGCCGUCGCCAUGUCGCGCCUCAUGGACGAGUUCCUCCUCCUCAGGGUCUGGGACGCUUCCCAGCUGGAGGGCAAGGAAGGCCUCCGCGUCGCCGUCGAGAAGCUCUCAGUAUCGUUGGCUUCGGCUUCAGUUGGCAGCGGCGUGUGGCCCGCCUUCCCCACCGGCGGCACCACCAGCACCGGGGAGCUCAGCGUGAGCACCACCGACGAGCUCCGCGCGUCCGGCAGGAGCCUCUCGAGCUGGCCUGACAACGCGCUGACCACCUCCGUGGAUGGCACCUUCUCGGAUGACCUCCAUCUGAUCUGCCCGGCAAGCUUGCCUGUCCUCCAUGAGAUCGCGACGCGGGUCAUCCGUGCGACCGUGCCGGCUACACAAAAGAGCUGCUCCAGACAUUCACCAAGGCCCCCUGCCAUGUCUUAGACAGGUUCUUGUCAAUCCUUGAGCUGGACCGGCCUUUCUUGGCGGCCAACAGAGUCAACUUCGAGGAUGCCGAGUGGUGGACAGCGGAGGACAUGGUAAAGCGGUGGAUCUUGGCGACCAAGCUCGUCGGGAAGGUCCUCACCGUCAUGCAAACCCAGCUCAUGGCGCAGGAAUGCGGAGCCUUCGACAGGUUCAAGGACGACUACUUCAUGGCCAUCGCGAAGCAGAGCAUCCUCGUCCUGCUCAAGUUCGCGGACGGGUUCACCAGCACCAGAUCACCGGAGAAGCUCAUCUAUGUCCUGGAAUUGUACGGGGCACUAGACAGCUCCGCUCCUAGCCUCCUGCCCCUGUUCACCGGGAAGCACGGGGAGCUCAUCUCCCGGCAGGUGCCAGUCGUUCUCGCCAAGCUGGAGCGCGCGUUGAGGGCCGCGACCGGCGGCCUCGUCGCCAAGAUCCGAACAGACUCUUCUCGGGCAGAAGGCGUCGGCGUCCAUCCGCUGGCGCGGUACGCCAUGACCUGUGUCGAGCUGCUGGCGCCGCACCGCGAGGCGCUGGACCUCAUCCUCGCGAACGCCGGCGAAGAUCCCGCCGGCGGAGCCGAGGGCGUGGCGUCGUUUGGCGGGCUCGUGUCGGAGCUGAUCGCCGGCAUGGAACGCAACCUUGAGGAGAAAUCCGCGGUCGCCUGCGCGGGCGGCUCGCUGUCGCGCCACCUCUUCCUGGCCAACAACACAAGCUUCGUGCUGAGCCGCGCCGCGGACGCCGGCGUCGCGUCUCUGCUCGGGGGCGACUGGGCCGCGCGGCGUCGGGGCCGGCUCGAGCAGCACGCGGCGAGCUACCUCGAGGCCUCCUGGGGCCCGGCCGUCGCGUGCCUGGAGGCGGCCGCGGGUGGCGGCGGCAAGCCGGCGCGGGCGCUGGCGAAGUUCAACGCCGCGUUCGAGGAGGCGCGCGGCAGCCAGGCGGGCCGCGAGGUCCCGGACCCCGCGUUCCGGGCGGCCCUGCGGGAGGCCGUGUCGGAGAUGGUGGUUCCUGCUUACGGCGCGUUCCUGGAGAAGCACCCCAAGCUUGGAAAAUCCGUCAGGUACACGGCUGCCGACGUGGCCCAAUCUCUGUCGGAAUUGUUCGAAGGAGAUACUGGCAUGGCGGAAAAUCGUUGGUGAUGUUGCACAGUGUAGUGUGUAGAAUCGAAGUACCAAGUAGCAAAACCUCUCUAACCAUCUGUGUGAGAGAGUAAGCCUAGUCUACGGACAUUUCCGAGACUUUUUUUUUGAUAAUACGUACCUGUAUUAGAAGAUAAGGGAAACGUACAAAUACAAGUACAUACUGCAAGGAUACAGAGGAGGAAGCUGUCUCCAGCCUACAGAGAAGACCCUAGAAAAGAACAAAAAAGCAAACGAGCCUUCAGGUCUCUCUGUUCUUGCCAACAGGAGCUGCCAUCGCCGGAAAUCGUCGUCGUCGUCGAAGAAGACGCCAGGAGAAUCCGGAGACGAGCAGCGCCACGCCCAAGCCAGGAGAAGCCUCAUCGCACCAUGGCUUUGACACGAGCCGCAAUAGUAACCCGCCCCUUGAGAC
RNA transcript from Panicum virgatum (switchgrass), 2493 nucleotides. It is a transcript of the gene named exocyst complex component EXO70A1-like, with no coding region annotated. The transcript has 3 exons. The record is from RefSeq and is a predicted model, not a curated record. NCBI's taxonomy places the organism in Eukaryota, Viridiplantae, Streptophyta, Magnoliopsida, Poales, Poaceae.